UACAGAGGGUGCAAGCGUUAAUCGGAAUUACUGGGCGUAAAGCGUGUGCAGGCGGUUUGUUAAGUCAGCUGUGAAAUCCCCGGGCUUAACCUGGGAACUGCGUUUGUAACUGGCAAGCUAGAGUGUGGCAGAGGGGGGUGGAAUUCCAAGUGUAGCAGUGAAAUGCGUAGAUAUUUGGAGGAACACCAAUGGCGAAGGCAGCCCCCUGGGUUAACACUGACGCUCAUGCACGAAAGCGUGGGGAGCAAACAGG
RNAcentral lists this ribosomal RNA (253 nucleotides) under uncultured bacterium. Its description in RNAcentral is "partial 16S ribosomal RNA". It matches the Rfam family "Bacterial small subunit ribosomal RNA", at positions 524 to 776 of the family's 1533-position model. The record is from RNAcentral.